UUGAAAUUCCAAAGUCCAUAA
Molecule: non-coding RNA, 21 nt
Organism: Caenorhabditis elegans
Lineage: Eukaryota; Metazoa; Nematoda; Chromadorea; Rhabditida; Rhabditidae
Source: Ensembl